GUUCCUUGGAAAAGGACAGCUGAGAGGGUGAGACUCCCGUCCGCCUGGUAGAAUGAGUCUUUGUCAACGAGUCGAGUUGUUUGGGAUUGCAGCUCUAAUUUGGUGGUAAAUUCCAUCUAAAGCUAAAUAUUGGUGGGAGACCGAUAGCGUACAAGUACCGUGAGGGAAAGAUGCAAAGAACUUUGAAAAGAGAGUUAAAGAGUACCUGAAAUUGCUGAAACGGAAGCGAAGGAAACCAGUGUUUGUUGGUUCAUAUUUCCCUUGUCACUUGUGAUGUGGGCGCUGUGAGCUUGCGUGGGUUUGCUUUGGUUGAUUCCUUUGGAAGAGCGCAGUCAGAGUUGAUGUCU
Molecule: ribosomal RNA, 347 nt
Filed under: Pseudo-nitzschia galaxiae
Lineage: Eukaryota; Bacillariophyta; Bacillariophyceae; Bacillariales; Bacillariaceae
Description: LSU rRNA
Rfam family: Eukaryotic large subunit ribosomal RNA
Source: RNAcentral